UUGACCUCGGAUCAGGUAGGAAUACCCGCUGAACUUAAGCAUAUCAAUAAGCGGAGGAAAAGAAACCAACAGGGAUUGCCUCAGUAACGGCGAGUGAAGCGGCAACAGCUCAAAUUUGAAAUCUGGCCCUGGGCCCGAGUUGUAAUUUGCAGAGGAUGCUUCGGGCGCGGUGCCUUCCAAGUCCCCUGGAACGGGGCGCCAUAGAGGGUGAGAGCCCCGUCGGGUCGGCCGCCAAGCCUGUGUGAAGCUCCUUCGACGAGUCGAGUAGUUUGGGAAUGCUGCUCUAAAUGGGAGGUAGACCCCUUCUAAAGCUAAAUACCGGCCAGAGACCGAUAGCGCACAAGUAGAGUGAUCGAAAGAUGAAAAGCACUUUGAAAAGAGGGUUAAACAGUACGUGAAAUUGUUGAAAGGGAAGCGCUUGUGACCAGACAUGCGCCGGGCGCUCAGCGGGCGUUCUCGCCCGUGCAUUCGCCCCGGCGCAGGCCAGCGUCGGUUCGGGAGGGGGGACAAAGGCGCCAGGAACGUGGCUCCCUCGGGAGUGUUAUAGCCUGGCGCGUCAUGCCCCCGCCCGGACCGAGGUUCGCGCUCCGCAAGGACGCUGGCGUAAUGGUCCCCAGCGGCCCGUCUUGAAACACGGACCAAGGAGUCGAGGUUUUGCGCGAGUGUUUGGGUGUCAAACCCGCACGCGUAAUGAAAGUGAACGCAGGUGGGAGCUUCGGCGCACCACCGACCGAUCCUGAUGUUCUCGGAUGGAUUUGAGUAGGAGCGUAGGGCCUCGGACCCGAAAGAUGGUGAACUAUACUUGGAUAGGGUGAAGCCAGAGGAAACUCUGGUGGAGGCUCGCAGCGGUUCUGACGUGCAAAUCGAUCGUCAAAUCUGAGUAUGGGGGCGAAAGACUAAUCGAACCAUCUAGUAGCUGGUUACCGCCG
This 929-nucleotide ribosomal RNA is filed under the name Pseudolachnea fraxini. RNAcentral describes it as "eukaryotic LSU rRNA". It matches the Rfam family "Eukaryotic large subunit ribosomal RNA", at positions 1 to 963 of the family's 3401-position model. The record is from RNAcentral. Lineage: Eukaryota; Fungi; Ascomycota; Sordariomycetes; Chaetosphaeriales; Chaetosphaeriaceae.